UACGGAGGGUGCGAGCGUUGUUCGGAAUCACUGGGCGUAAAGCGCGUGUAGGCGGUCUGUUAAGUCUGAUGUGAAAGCCCGGGGCUCACCCCCGGAAGUGCAUUGGAAACUGACAGACUGGAGUCCCGGAGAGGAGGGUGGAAUUCCAGGUGUAGCGGUGAAAUGCGUAGAUAUCAGGAGGAACACCGGUGGCGAAGGCGGCCCUCUGGACGGUGACUGACGCUGAGACGCGAAAGCGUGGGGAGCAAACAGG
This 253-nucleotide ribosomal RNA is filed under the name uncultured bacterium. RNAcentral's name for it is "partial 16S ribosomal RNA". It matches the Rfam family "Bacterial small subunit ribosomal RNA", at positions 524 to 776 of the family's 1533-position model. The record is from RNAcentral.